CAAAUUAACAAGCAACCAAUCAAUUAAGAAGAGCUAAGUAAGAGAGUGGGAAGCCUUGUAAGUAGUCUUGUAAGAGUGUGAGUGCUCUAGAGUUUGUCUCUAGAAAGUAAGUGAGUGUCAUUGCUUCUAAGAGUGUCCUUUGAGAGUGUUGUAAUAUUUUGUUUGUGUAAUACAAGUAAUUUGUUUACUUGUGUUGUCUCUCCAAUACUUGUGUUAGAGUUCUGUACUCUAAUUUUUUCCAACAAAUUUAACCAGCAACAAAUCAGGGUUUUGCAAAUUUCAACUCACAGGAUAAAUGGCAUCCGAACCCGUCAAUGUGAAUGAGUACCAAGAAUUGGCUAGGCAAGCCCUUCCGAAGAUGUACUAUGACUUUUACACUGGGGGAGCUGAGGACCAGCACACGCUAAAAGAGAACGUUGAAGCAUUUCGCAGAAUCACGUAAAUGUUUAAAUCUACUGCUAAAUGCUCAAAAAUAUGGUAUAAUUACAUGAGUGAUACCUGUGUCUUUGUUCCAGGUUGCGGCCUAGAAUUCUCAUCGAUGUUAGCAGAAUAGAUAUGUCAACUACCAUACUGGGUUACAAAAUUUCAGCGCCUAUAAUGCUUGCUCCUACUUCUAUGCAUCAGUUAGCUCACCCCGAAGGAGAGGUUGCCACUGCUAGAGCAGCAGCUGCAUGUAACACCAUAAUGAUUUUGUCCAGUAUAUCUAGCUGCACUGUGGAGGAGGUUGCCUCCAGCUGCGAUGCUGUUCGGUUCUUUCAACCAUAUGUAUUUUUUCACUCUUUAGCUUAAUUUUGUUUUACAGUGAUAUUUCUUCUUAUUUCCUUCAUUUUUAAGUCUCUAUCCUUAAAAUAUCAAGAGUGGCCACUAGCGAAAAGAAAAGUUCACUUUUGAAAAAAAAUUGGCCAAACACGCAUUUCAUCAUUCUAUGCUCUUCCACUUUCUCAGGCCCCAUUCCCACAAAGAAAGUUUUUUUUCUUUUUUCUCUAAUCAGUAAUUCAGCAAAUAAGUUUCCAACUCUCAAAUAAAUUUCAUCAGUUCAUCAUGCUUUCUUAAUUUUUGUAGUUUUUAGUGGUGUAUUCGCUUGCCAUAUUGAAGCCUUUUGCUCUGCAGUAAUACUUUUCAGAUUACAAAAAUAAAAAAGAAUUUUGAGUAGUGGGAUGAAUGUGUUAACCAACCCCAUUGAUUUAAUUUUCUGGUGUUUCAGGCAGCUAGAUUGCUUGAAACCUGAAAACUGACGACGAUCGGUUGACUAAUGAAUUUUUAUGUUUUCAAGGAUAAAUGGCUUCAUCAGAACCUGUCAAUGUGAAUGAAUUUCAACAACUGGCUAGGCAAGUCCUUCCGAAACUGCACUGCGAUUACUAUACAGGGGGAGCUGAGGACGACCAAUGCUACAGGAGAACGUUGAAGCAUUUUGCAGAAUCAUGUCGCGGCCUAGAUUUUUUGUCGAAGUUAGCUGAAUAGACAUGUCAAAUACUGUGUUGGGGUACAAAAUCUCAGCGCCGAUAAUGAUUGCUCAUACUGCAAGGCAGCAGCCAGCUCACCCCGAAGAUCUAAAAUCUAUAUACCGCCUUUCAAGAGUUCUCUGUUGAGAUUGGGUUAGGACACUAAUUUCUACCAGCUCUUUUAUAUCGAAUACAGGAGAGGUUGCUACUGCUAGAACAGCAGCUUCAUGUAGCACCAUAAUGAUAUAUGUUUGAGUAACUUACGACAUGCAUUAGCUAAUACGCGUUGUUUACUAUUUGAAUUGUAGCUUUUCCGUUGUAGAUUUUGUCCAGUAGGUUUUCCUGUACCGUGGAGGAGGUUGCUUCCAGCUGCAACGCUGUUCGGUUCUUUCAAUUAUAUGUACUUGUUCUCACUUGAGCUCGUUUCAAUUUUCGGUAGCUCUGAUUUCUAUUUUAUUAGUUACUAUCCCUUCCAGCCUAUCAGAGCUCAUCAAGCUAUCAAACAGAACGGUUUUCUGAACAGGUUUACGAGGGAAUAUCAGCUGAGAUAGCUCGCAGAGCUGAAAAAAGCUGGAUACCAAGCCUUUCCUAACCGUCGAUGCUCCCACAUUCGGUCGAUGGUAGGCAGACAUAAAGAAUCGGUCGUGUCAUCCUACUUUAUUACAAAUAUGUUGUUUUGCUGACACUUAUGUUGUUCAUUGAAUAAUAUCUUAUGCAUCUCGUUUAGCAAAUGCGGUCACAACUGUCGCAGAAGGGUUGAAGCUCGAUUGAAGAAUUUGGAAGUAACUUCUUGCGCUGAUGAAACUUUGCGUAGCGUAAAUCUGUAUAUUGUGAUAUAUCCAUAACGAUGAGCAGAUGUAUACAUGAAGUGCACAAAAUAAAGAGAACAAUAGGCGACAUUUAUAUCUGUGUACGAUCCAAGUGAAAGUUCAUAUAUAUAUGACACUUGUUUGGUCAUUGAAAUGCAUAAGUUUUUGUUAGUGUUCUUGAUUUAUCUGAGUUAUGCGAUAUGGAGAUAGAGAGAGAGAGGAUUGAAGGAUGCAAAAGGAAUGAAUGUUCUUCUUCUCUCUUACAGAAAUUGCAGAGAGGAAUAUAUUUCUCUUAAUGGAAAAUUUUAGCACACACACGUGCAUUUCAUGACGGUUAGCCUUAGCUGGAUCCACACACAUCACAUUUGAUCUCAACCACACAUCUAGCUAAUUUAUAGGAUCACUACACAUGGCUAUUUUAGCCUUACAUAUUGUAGCCUCACACUAGUCAUUCGAAAAGACUAAGUGCAUACACAAUUAAUCAUUCAAGGCUUCUUAUUUACUAAUCAGCUCAUUACUUACAAUUCUACAGUUUUAUACUCCUUUUCUGUGCAUGUCUUCUUACGCUCGCUAUUUCUUUUCGUCUUGAACGCUUAGUUAUUGCAUCGAUUGAUUGAGUACGCGGGACAUAGGACGGCUGAAAUAUAUUACGAACAUGCCAAUUUUAAUCAAGGGGUCUUACUCAUGGAAGAUGCAAGAAAGGCCGUGGAAGUAGGAGUUGCUGUGAUUGUUGUCUCGAACCGUGGAGGCCGCCAACUCGAUUGUACUCCUCCCACUAUUUCUGUCCUGGAUGAGUGCAACUCUAUCAACUGCUGCUUCAUCAUUUCUUUUUUCCUGUUACGAAUUCAAUUGGAAAGUUGUAUGAUAAGGUGUUCAGGUGGUUCAUGCUGUUGGAGGAAAAUUUCCUGUUCUUUUCGAUGGAGAAGGCUAUGGAAGGCGUGUUCAAGGCGUUAACCCUCGGUGCACAAACUGUUCUCGAUGGAAGGCUGGUUAUCUACGGCCUUGCAGCAGGCGGAGAACGGGGAGUGAGGUGGGUGAUCGAAAUGCUCGAGGAUGGGUUUGAGCUGACAAUGGCCCUUUCUUGCUGUCCUAGCGUCAAAGAUAUUACCAGGAGCCAUGUGAGAACACUAAGUGAUCAUAAACUCUUUGACCAAAGAAAAAAAAAUCAUAAACUCAACUCCAUGGGAGAAAUUGCAAAUUGUAAACUAGCUAAUGCAACUCAAAUUGUUGUUUUCUUUUUUUUUUUUUUUUUUUUUGACGAGACGGGUGAUUUGAACUUUGAAUAAUUUUUUGCAAAAAUGAUGUUUAUAUGAUAAUAAACACAUUGAAUGAUUUUGAUCACAUUGUUUGUACGGUAAAAUGCGUUAAUCUUAAGUGGGAUUCUCCCAUGGAAAGGACACUAGGUACAAAAAGAAAAUAAUUUGGUCACACAAAAAAAAAAGUCAGAAAAUUGCAAAUACUUUCACACUCAAUCUUCACUUAUAAACACUAACCAAUCCCCAAGAAUUUAUACACUUGUAGAGCAGCAGAGAGAUGGAUCUUAUUUCUUAGGAGCCCCCUCUAGCACAAACCAUUGCACUCCGGUAAAUGUAUAUUCACCUUUAUGCCCCGGAAAAAAGGUGAUAUCAUGUACCAAGCUCAUAGUUCUUCUGCCAAAAAUUAUUUGAACAGUGCAUGUAAAGUUUACCGUGUUAUUAAGGACUAAUACGUCUAAAUGUCAACUUAACUGUGGGAUUUGAGGGGGAGGCUUCUGACAAGAGCGGCUGAACUAUUUCCUCCCGAGAACACCCCCGAAGAUCUGAUAUUGUUGCUACGGAUUACCAACAGAGUUACUCUUGUUUACACCUUGAAGGUCCAUAGGAGAAUUUGCCAUACUACCGACUGAGCCGUGCGUUUGAGAGCUUAGCUGUGGGCUUGCGGGACAAGCCUCUG
Molecule: RNA transcript, 4183 nt
Organism: Pyrus x bretschneideri (Chinese white pear)
Lineage: Eukaryota; Viridiplantae; Streptophyta; Magnoliopsida; Rosales; Rosaceae
Gene name: peroxisomal (S)-2-hydroxyacid oxidase GLO4-like
Exons: 7
Source: RefSeq, a predicted model, not a curated record